CCCUACGGGGUGCAGCAGCCAGGAAAUUUGAUAUCUGUUUUUAUCAAUACUACCCAGGGGCGAAGCAGCAAAAGAAGAGCAUGGUUAAAGGCUUUUUCGAUUUUUUUAACUGCCCAGGGCGGAAGGCUAGCUAUCUCGGAUGGUCUGCAGCAGUGCCGGGAAAAUUGACAUCUGUUUUUAUCAAUACUACCCGGGGGCGAAGCGGCGAAAAAAGAGGCUGGUUAAGGGUGUUUUUAAUUGUGGCAGGUGUCCAGGGGCGGAGGUUCGGAUCUGCCGGAGCUCUCGGAUGGGCUGCACCAGUGCCCAGGGGCGAAACCGGAUCCGAAGCUGCAGCAGGGCGGAAAAUUUCAUUCAGGAGCUGCAGGCGGAGCAAGUGCCCAUUGGCGGGGGAGC
This 393-nucleotide ribosomal RNA is filed under the name uncultured prokaryote. RNAcentral describes it as "partial 16S ribosomal RNA". The record is from RNAcentral.